AGCCUCUCUCCCAUGGGACUGUGAAGGGUCCCUUUUUUCCUCAGCCACGGCUGGAGGCCAAGACCAGCCCUUGAGGAUCAUUGCCCGGGCUGCCAUGAGCUGGCAGCCUUGUUUUCCAGCCCCAGACGUCU
Zalophus californianus (California sea lion) is the source of this 131-nucleotide non-coding RNA. The record is from Ensembl. Lineage: Eukaryota; Metazoa; Chordata; Mammalia; Carnivora; Otariidae.